CUUUCAGGCAACUCAUUUUUUUUUUUUUCUAUUCUCACCAUGGCUACAUUUCUCUCCCAUAACCACAGACCAUCAGAUUAGGGCUGGAGGGUACCCCAGAGACCAUCUCCUGCAACCCUCUAAAAUUAGAUGGGAAGAAUCUGGUCCCAGAGGGGUGAUGACUUCUUCAAGGUCACACAGCAGGCUGGUGGAGACGCUGAGACUAGACGCCCAUCUACUGGAUUCCAGGCCAAAGCUGUCUUCUCUAAUGGAUAGCUGGUUCAAUCUGUGGAAUUCGGGAAAAGGAAAUCAGAAAUCUAGAAAGCAGAUUGGAGCAAGCAUCCACACAAGAAGUGUCCCACAAUUAUAGUGGAAUGAUGAACAAGGGAUAGGACAGCAUGAUCCUGAAUUCUAGUGGAACAGCUGACACCAACCAAUUUGAAGAUUCUCCCCAGAGAAAGCAAAUCAACAUGAGAGUACAGCUUGUUUAUCUCCCUGUCCCAUGACUUCACCCUGCACUCUUUGGUCAAUCAAUAAUGUCCACACUUUGGCUCACUCCAAAACCCUUAAAAACCUUAGCCCCAAACUCUGUGAGUAGAACAGAUUUGAGGUUUUUUCCCAUUUCCUCAUUUGGUGACACUAUGAUUAAAUCUCUUUCUCUGCUGCAA
Chlorocebus sabaeus (green monkey) is the source of this 647-nucleotide long non-coding RNA. RefSeq lists it as uncharacterized. The record is from RefSeq and is a predicted model, not a curated record. Lineage: Eukaryota; Metazoa; Chordata; Mammalia; Primates; Cercopithecidae.